UUUUUUUUUCUUUUAUUUUUUUUUUCUUUUAUUUUAUUUAAAGAUAUGGAUGUAAAGUGGGUAUUUUGGUUUGAAUUUCGGCUGAUGCACUUUUUUUUUUCUCCCAAAAAUAAUAAUACCAAUUAAACUUAUAAGUACAAGGAUAAUAGUUAUUUGAGAUAAAUGAAUACUUCUCAGUGCACAAACCCAACUAUUACAUCCUUAUACUCCAUACCAUGGUCUUAUGGUAUGCUGGUGAAACUGGGGGUAAACUAAACUGGAAGCAGGAGUGAUUUCCCCUGCAAAGAGCUGUUAUUUGUAAAAGAGGAAAUGAGUCUGGUUUUAUUAAGCUGGUUGAAAUUCAGUGGCAUUCUGUUGAAAUGCGACAUUUCUGAAUCCAUCAUUCCUGAAUUCCAUGGGUUGUGCUCAGGGUUUGUGGAGUGGGAGCCCUGGGCUGGAGCAGAAGUGGGUGUGUGGGGAAGUAGCCAGCAAAGCCCCUUCUCCUCACAGGUUUUGAGAAGAACUUCUGCUGGCCUUUAGCUCUUAAACAGUAAUAGAAAAACAGUUGCCCCUUUUAGAGCCCUUUGUUACCUACUUCAUCACCAGAAAGGGAGACAUUGGAAAAUUAUUAGAAAACAAAAAUACACCAAAGUCUAACAGAUCCUGUUUGUUUGUGGGCAGAAUAAACUGUAUGGAAAACACAGGGAGGAGAGAUACAGGUGAAGAGAGGUGAAAGGAAAACAAAUUGGCUGCAUGGAGAGGUCUGGUGUCAAACAUCAGAGGGAUCUUGUUUGCUCAGAUACUGUAUUUAAGACCGUGGCAAUCGGGGACCUGGAGGGAGAGGAGAGGUUUGCAGCCCCUCCCUGAGGCUAGAUGACAGAGGAAAUAGGUGAAGCAAUCUGCUCUGCUGAGCCUGCUGCUGGGGCUGCAGUUUUGAACCAGCGUAUUCCAUCCCUUCAUCCUAUACACUGUUUUUUCUGAGGAAAAAAAAAACAAACCCAGAAGUCUGAAAUUAAUGGAUUUGUAAUUCCCUCAGUCUGUCAGAUGGUACCAUUCUGAGAAAGGUGGCUUUGCUGUGGGCAGUCUGAUUUAGAGAGAGGAUUAAGAUCCCUGCAAGACACAGUAAGUCACAACAUUACAAGGAAUUCAAUAGAAAUAUUUCUGAGGGAGUAUAGGAAUGUGCUUUCAGGCUGCUCUGAAAACACUGGGUAGAGAUGAUGUUUUACUGUGACCUAAUGUAUGGAAAUGGAGUAAUAUUUUUGAUCCCAGUAAUAGGCUGGAGAUCCCCCUUAACAGACAGCCACACACACACACAGACACGCAGGCAGUGCCUGUGUCCCCAGCAGCAGCUCAGGGCUGUGCAGAGGUGAGGGCAGACAGUUCUGUUCAUCAGCACUGUACAUCCCCUUGCACAUCACACCCAUUCCAUUGCACUAGUGUUGUGUUUAUCCACAAAGGCGUACAUCCUUGAAGACAUCCCUUUGUGGAGAUCUGCCAUUUCUGGUGGGUAAUAGAAUCAGAGGGUAAAAAUGGGAUUCUUCUUUCUGAUUUAAAUCUGUCUUCAGCUUCCAGUCCUUGUAUCUGGUUUUGCCUUCUUUGCUGGAUAAAAGAGCUCUUUAAGGAAUUUCUUUGCUCAUGAAGGUAUUUUUAUCCACCAUGGUCAAAGCAUCUCUCUGUUCUUUUUGUGGUAAGCUAAAUGGAUUGAGCUCUUUAAGUCACUCGCUGGCAGGCAUUUUCUGCCACAAAUCAUUUUUUUGUCUACUCUUUCUGCUCUGACUCUAAAAUGUAGAUGUCUGAUUGUAUACAUUUUUCUAGAGUCAUUUUUCUGAUGCAGUGUGCAGGAUAAGCUACCUCCUGGCUUCUAUUUGCUUUCUAUAUUCAAUAUCCAUUCGCUCACAUGACACAGAACGGCACAGAAAAUGAUGUUUGUCUGUUUUACACAUCCACAACUGUGCUUUCCAGUCUAUAUUUCUCACAGCUUGUUGGGCAAUGCUUUGCUCCCAGACAUGGAAUACCCAUCCUCUGUUGAUUUCUGCCAGUAGUUGUCUGGAGCAGCCCCCUUUUCCCUGAGGUGCCACUUUGCCCCCUGGCCUUCAGCAGGAGCAGAGUUGGCUCCUCCAAAUAUAUAUAGAGGGAUAAUGGGCAUGCUUGGGUGUCCCUGCCUGGUGCCUGGGGCUUCAGCUGGUGGUUGUUCUGCUUGUUCUGAAAGGAAAUUGUGACUGCUUUUAGCUGCAGUUGGGGGAUUGAAUGACAUGUGGAAGGAAUAAAUCACUGCAUGAUAAGGAAGAGGCACGUAAGAUUUGAGACAAAGAGGAAAAUCUCGUUUCCACUCCCCUUUGUUAUCCCUUUACUGUGCAUAACUGUACAUAUCGCACAUGUUACUCUGAGCUCCUGCAGAGUAUUCCACCACUCCAGUAGAGCCCUGGAAAUACACUGGGAGGACACAGGAUUUAUCUUCCUGUUGCUUAACUAAGAAUCAGAUUAUCCACAGGAGGCAACUCCCACAGAGGCAUUAAGUAAGCAGUCAGAUCCCAGUAUAAGUUCAUCUUACAUGAUGCCCUGUACCUAUCCAAAGCUACAAACCUGUCCAGGUGUGUUAUGCUGACCAUUUAUAAACAGUGGCUGCUUUUUGGCUCUGUGAACAGGCAGCACUUUGGCUCCUGCAAUACCUGCUUUUGUUCCCAGGGGCUGAGCUCUUAAUUCUGUCCUGGGCUGCCUUAAAAAUGGACAGCUGAGGCUGCAGGGGCAGAAGGGCUCCCAGGAGGCUGAGGUAGGGCCAGCCUGUGCUUGAACUUGCUCUUUGUCACAGCUGAGGGGCCUUGGCACCAUCCUCCCUUUAUGUAACCAGCUCUUGGCUUCACCUGUGCCUCGGUGAGGACCCUGCAGCAGAGCUGCAGCACCACUGUUCCCGACUGGAAUGCCUGCGACUCUGCUCGAGCCACUGUUAGCAGGAGAGAGCUGUUUGCAGCCUGAGAGCAUCACACAGUGGCUUUGGGUGGUGUAAAAAAGAGCCAGAGUGAAACAUGAGAAAUCCCAUUGUACCAUUUUCCCAGAUAUCACAACCUGAGAACACAAUCUGUUUCCCCUUCCAGGGCACCUUGUCACUCUCUUCAGGGACUACCUGCCCACAGAGCACCCCCGUACACACAUGUACACAUGGGCACAGGGGCCUGGGGGAAGGAGCUGGGCAGUCCCCUUGCUUCUGCAGAUCCCUGGAGUUAGAGGGUAAGCCAGAUGUGUGCAUUGGGCCACUGGGGAUACCAGCAUGGGUGAGAUGCAGCUACAGGCUGGGUACUGAUGGUGGGGUCUGCAGAGUGAAGCAAGAGACAGCAGUGCCAGUCGGUGGAGAAAGGAAAAUGCAGAGGCUGGGCAGAGGGUGUAGGAAGGAGAAAGGGAUAGCAGGGAAUGAGGAGGAGGAGCAGAAAGUCUAGGGGCAGAAAGACUCAGGGUGCAAUAGGAGGAUGAGAGAACAGUCAGGUAGAGCAGGAGCAAA
Non-coding RNA from Taeniopygia guttata (zebra finch), 3472 nucleotides. NCBI's taxonomy places the organism in Eukaryota, Metazoa, Chordata, Aves, Passeriformes, Estrildidae. The record is from RefSeq and is a predicted model, not a curated record.